Molecule: non-coding RNA, 87 nt
Filed under: Pelobacter sp.
Lineage: Bacteria; Pseudomonadati; Thermodesulfobacteriota; Desulfuromonadia; Desulfuromonadales; Desulfuromonadaceae
Also listed under: 1 other name
Description: ZTP sequence
Rfam family: ZMP/ZTP riboswitch aptamer (pfl RNA motif)
About the family: Previously known as pfl RNA. ZMP is also known as AICAR.
Source: RNAcentral
ACGGUCUUCUGCAACUGGCGCUAAGGUGGGUUUACCACCGGGGAGCAGACCUACAGACCACGACAGCCGUACGCCUGGGCACCUAUA